AUUUCUUGAAUCUUUUUGGUUCUAUUGUGUAGUAUCUGUUCCUAUCAAUUUAAUAUCUGACAUGUCUUCGAUGAGAGGACUUUAUAUUAAACAGAUUUUGGGGCUCAGGAGUUGGACCUGGAGCUUGCUUCCUCCGCUCCACGCAUCGUCCCGGUACUGCAGUGCCUCUGAUUUUUUGGGGAAGCUGGA
Molecule: non-coding RNA, 189 nt
Organism: Colius striatus (speckled mousebird)
Lineage: Eukaryota; Metazoa; Chordata; Aves; Coliiformes; Coliidae
Source: Rfam